This 497-nucleotide ribosomal RNA is filed under the name uncultured bacterium. Its description in RNAcentral is "partial 16S ribosomal RNA". It matches the Rfam family "Bacterial small subunit ribosomal RNA", at positions 28 to 507 of the family's 1533-position model. The record is from RNAcentral.
GAUGAACGCUGGCGGCGUGCCUAAUACAUGCAAGUCGAGCGAACAGACGAGGAGCUUGCUCCUCUGACGUUAGCGGCGGACGGGUGAGUAACACGUGGAUAACCUACCUAUAAGACUGGGAUAACUUCGGGAAACCGGAGCUAAUACCGGAUAAUAUAUUGAACCGCAUGGUCCAAUAGUGAAAGACGGUUUUGCUGUCACUUAUAGAUGGAUCCGCGCCGCAUUAGCUAGUUGGUAAGGUAACGGCUUACCAAGGCAACGAUGCGUAGCCGACCUGAGAGGGUGAUCGGCCACACUGGAACUGAGACACGGUCCAGACUCCUGCGGGAGGCAGCAGUAGGGAAUCUUCCGCAAUGGGCGAAAGCCUGACGGAGCAACGCCGCGUGAGUGAUGAAGGUCUUCGGAUCGUAAAACUCUGUUAUUAGGGAAGAACAAAUGUGUAAGUAACUAUGCACGUCUUGACGGUACCUAAUCAGAAAGCCACGGCUAACUACGUG